Non-coding RNA from Hordeum vulgare subsp. vulgare (domesticated barley), 136 nucleotides. Lineage: Eukaryota; Viridiplantae; Streptophyta; Magnoliopsida; Poales; Poaceae. The record is from Rfam.
AUGAUACUCCCUCCGUCUCAAAAUUCUUGUCAUAGGUUUAUAUAAAAAUUGAUGUAUCUAAAUACUAAUACAUGACUAAAUACAUUAAUAUCUAGACAAAUCAAAGACAAAUUUUUUGAGACUGAGGGAGUAUAUA